This 1148-nucleotide ribosomal RNA is filed under the name uncultured bacterium. RNAcentral's name for it is "bacterial SSU rRNA". It matches the Rfam family "Bacterial small subunit ribosomal RNA", at positions 8 to 1144 of the family's 1533-position model. The record is from RNAcentral.
AGAGUUUGAUCCUGGCUCAGAUUGAACGCUGGCGGCAGGCCUAACACAUGCAAGUCGAACGGUAACAGGAAACAGCUUGCUGUUUCGCUGACGAGUGGCGGACGGGUGAGUAAUGUCUGGGAAACUGCCUGAUGGAGGGGGAUAACUACUGGAAACGGUAGCUAAUACCGCAUAACGUCGCAAGACCAAAGAGGGGGACCUUCGGGCCUCUUGCCAUCGGAUGUGCCCAGAUGGGAUUAGCUUGUUGGUGGGGUAACGGCUCACCAAGGCGACGAUCCCUAGCUGGUCUGAGAGGAUGACCAGCCACACUGGAACUGAGACACGGUCCAGACUCCUACGGGAGGCAGCAGUGGGGAAUAUUGCACAAUGGGCGCAAGCCUGAUGCAGCCAUGCCGCGUGUAUGAAGAAGGCCUUCGGGUUGUAAAGUACUUUCAGCGGGGAGGAAGGGAGUAAAGUUAAUACCUUUGCUCAUUGACGUUACCCGCAGAAGAAGCACCGGCUAACUCCGUGCCAGCAGCCGCGGUAAUACGGAGGGUGCAAGCGUUAAUCGGAAUUACUGGGCGUAAAGCGCACGCAGGCGGUUUGUUAAGUCAGAUGUGAAAUCCCCGGGCUCAACCUGGGAACUGCAUCUGAUACUGGCAAGCUUGAGUCUCGUAGAGGGGGGUAGAAUUCCAGGUGUAGCGGUGAAAUGCGUAGAGAUCUGGAGGAAUACCGGUGGCGAAGGCGGCCCCCUGGACGAAGACUGACGCUCAGGUGCGAAAGCGUGGGGAGCAAACAGGAUUAGAUACCCUGGUAGUCCACGCCGUAAACGAUGUCGACUUGGAGGGUUGUGCCCUUGAGGCGUGGGCUUCCGGAGCUAACGCGUUAAGUCGACCGCCUGGGGAGUACGGCCGCAAGGUUAAAACUCAAAUGAAUUGACGGGGGCCCGCACAAGCGGUGGAGCAUGUGGUUUAAUUCGAUGCAACGCGAAGAACCUUACCUGGUCUUGACAUCCACAGAACUUUCCAGAGAUGGAUUGGUGCCUUCGGGAACUGUGAGACAGGUGCUGCAUGGCUGUCGUCAGCUCGUGUUGUGAAAUGUUGGGUUAAGUCCCGCAACGAGCGCAACCCUUAUCCUUUGUUGCCAGCGGUCCGGCCGGGAACUCAAAG